GACGAACCGUGCGAACGUUGUUCGGAUUCACUGGGCUUAAAGGGCGCGUAGGCGGGCGGUCAAGUCGGGGGUGAAAUCUUUCAGCUUAACUGGAAAAGUGCCUCCGAUACUGCCGUGCUUGAGGACUGGAGAGGAGACUGGAAUUCAUGGUGUAGCAGUGAAAUGCGUAGAGAUCAUGAGGAAGACCAGUGGCGAAGGCGGGUCUCUGGACAGUUCCUGACACUGAGGCACGAAGGCCAGGGGAGCAAACGGG
RNAcentral lists this ribosomal RNA (253 nucleotides) under uncultured bacterium. Its description in RNAcentral is "partial 16S ribosomal RNA". It matches the Rfam family "Bacterial small subunit ribosomal RNA", at positions 524 to 776 of the family's 1533-position model. The record is from RNAcentral.